Long non-coding RNA from Lathyrus oleraceus (garden pea), 425 nucleotides. RefSeq lists it as uncharacterized. Lineage: Eukaryota; Viridiplantae; Streptophyta; Magnoliopsida; Fabales; Fabaceae. The record is from RefSeq and is a predicted model, not a curated record. The transcript is spliced from 3 exons.
ACUCUCAAAAAUUUCGCAACCCUCUCCCUCACUCUCGUCACUCUCGUCACUCUCCAGCGCUCAUACUAACCUCGCGAUACUACUCCCAAUCUCACUCUAAACGCAAAACCAUGGUUUUAAAGAGAAUCAAAUAAAAAGGCUCACCUUCGGCAGUGGUUCGGUAGUGACGGGUUUUUCGUCCUCCUGGUCCGCCUCCGCUUCCCUCCUUUUAUAUCAACAACUUAGGGUUUUUUGAGCUGUCUCAAGGAAAUCCAAAAGGGCAUCUUCUGUAUUGCUUUAAGGCGCUCAGACUUUGGUCUGCCUUAUUUGGCGCUCGACAUGAAAACGUGAAGAUUGGUGAAAAUAGAAGCUCCAAUUAUCACAGGGGUUCUGGAUAGUGAUUUUGGGUUGAAAUUUCUUCAGUGGAAGCAUCGUGAUUUCCUGAU